ACAAACUUGGUCAUUUAGAGGAAGUAAAAGUCGUAACAAGGUCUCCGUAGGUAAGUAUAAAGCCCCUCUAUGCCACCCCGCUUGUUUUUAUCAAAUACUAAUCAACUUUUAACAGGUGAACCUGCGGAGGGAUCAUUACCGAGGAUGGCGGCCCUUUAGGCCACCGCCUCACCAUACUUUGCUUAAACCCCCCCUCUUCGGGGCACCUGCUUCGGCCGAUGGCCGGCUGGAAGGGAGCGCGCUUCAGCCCAGCUGGCCCAAGGUCGUGCGGUAGGGCCCCCAGACCAAAACCCUGAGUAUCAGUGUGUCUUAGGUGGUGAAAGCCAAACCAAACACAACCUGCAACGAUGGAUCUCUUGGCUCUGGCAUCGAUGAAGAACGCAGC
RNAcentral lists this unclassified non-coding RNA (385 nucleotides) under uncultured fungus. Its description in RNAcentral is "partial contains small subunit ribosomal RNA, internal transcribed spacer 1, and 5.8S ribosomal RNA". The stretch from base 1 to 138 matches the Rfam family "Eukaryotic small subunit ribosomal RNA", at positions 1759 to 1831 of the family's 1831-position model. The record is from RNAcentral. Lineage: Eukaryota; Fungi.